Molecule: ribosomal RNA, 494 nt
Filed under: uncultured bacterium
Lineage: Bacteria
Description: partial 16S ribosomal RNA
Rfam family: Bacterial small subunit ribosomal RNA
Source: RNAcentral
GACGAACGCUGGCGGCGUGCUUAACACAUGCAAGUCGAACGGUGAAGCGCCUUCCUUUUUGGUGGGUGUGGAUGAGUGGCGAACGGGUGAGUAACACUUGAGUAACCUGCCCCCUUCUUCUGGAUAACCGCAUGAAAGUGUGGCUAAUACGGGAUAUUCUGGGUCUGUCGCAUGAUGGGUCUGGGAAAGAUAUUGUUUCGGUGGGGGAUGGGCUCGCGGCGUAUCAGCUUGUUGGUGGGGUGAUGGCCUACCAAGGCGGUGACGGGUAGCCGGCCUGAGAGGGUGGACGGUCACACUGGGACUGAGACACGGCCCAGACUCAUACGGGAGGCAGAAGUGGGGAAUAUUGCACAAUGGGCGCAAGCCUGAUGCAGCGACGCCGCGUGAGGGAUGGAGGCCUUCGGGUUGUGAACCUCUUUCGCCAGUGAAGCAGGCCUGCCUCGUUUGUGGGUGGGUUGACGGUAGCUGGAUAAGAAGCGCCGGCUAACUACGUG